GGCCCACUAGAAUGCGCUCCACGACGGCCCGUCCAGCCGUCAAGCCCCCCUCCCCCAAAUCUCACCGGAAUCCUCCGCCGCCGACGGCCACCGUCCACACCGCGGCCCGUAUACCGCCUGACUUCCGCGAGGCCGGCCUGUGGCGCCGGCGCUGGGAGGAGUGCAGGGGCAGCUCGAGAUCUGGCGAUGCAUCGGAGUAGGCGACCGAGCCGCCGACGGGGGCCAGGCGAGCGCUGUUCUUUGCCGUGGAGGAGCGACGCGUCGAGGGGAGGCUCCGGCGAUUAGCCACUACGAAGGGCAGCUCGGCAACUACGCAGGCAUUGCUAGUCCAAAGUUGAUUAUCAGUAUGUGUGCACAAUCCAUCAUCAGGUCAGGCAGGAGGUGAAAUCUUCACAAGAUAAUCUAGACCUAUAUGUUUUCUCAGCUUGUGGCAGUGUUGGGGAAAUGGUUUGGGUAUUGCCGCCUGGUACAACCUUUUCUUUUUCUUCUGUACUCCCCCCUUCCAAGUAUUUUCACUUUUGGCAACCUAAGAAAUAAACCACCGGGGAGAAAACUGGGAUUAAGCAAGUAGUGCUGGUCUGUGCGGUGCGCCGGUGCCUAAAUGCCCACUGGUUUCCUGAAAAUUGAGAGAAUAAAAAGGUCCAGUGCUUUGCGUCUGCUCUGAAUUACCCAUUAUAGUCUGUCUAACUCAGCAAGUCAGCAGGAUUCUCCUUUCGGAUAGUUUAUUAUCUGCAUAUUGCGUAUUGUUUUCUUGCUUGUGUGUAAACAUCUUCCCUUAUUAAUAUGAGGUUACAUCUUUUGCUUGAGUCA
Triticum dicoccoides is the source of this 810-nucleotide long non-coding RNA. RefSeq lists it as uncharacterized. NCBI's taxonomy places the organism in Eukaryota, Viridiplantae, Streptophyta, Magnoliopsida, Poales, Poaceae. The transcript is spliced from 2 exons. The record is from RefSeq and is a predicted model, not a curated record.